GUCGGGUGGUCUGUUCAAGGCUUGACGCUUCUGGUGAGGCGCCGGGGCCGGAUGCUAUUGCUGAGGCGCCGGGCCGGACGCUUCUGCUGAGGCGCCGGGCCGGACGCUUCUGCUGAGGCGCUUCUCCUGAGGCUUCUGCUGAGGCGCCGGACGCUUCUCCUGAGGCUUCUGCUGAGGCGCCGGACGCUUCUGCUGAGGCGCCGGACGCUUCUGCUGAGGCGCCGGACGCUUCUGCUGAGGCGCCGGGCGCUCUGCUGAGGCGCCGGACGCUUCUGCUGAGGCGCCGGACGCUUCUGCUGAGGCGCCGGGGCCGGACUUCACACUUGACGGGGCAUUGUGGCCAGUAGAUUCUGCUGACGUGGCAUUGUGGCCAGUAGCUUCUGCUGACGUGGCAUUGUGGCCAGUAGCUUCUGCUGACGUGGCAUUGUGGCCAGUAGCUUCUGCUGACGUGGCAUUGUGGCCAGUAGCUUCUGCUGACGUGGCAUUGUGG
Molecule: long non-coding RNA, 490 nt
Filed under: Salmo salar (Atlantic salmon)
Lineage: Eukaryota; Metazoa; Chordata; Actinopteri; Salmoniformes; Salmonidae
Description: lncRNA (ENSSSAG00000085023.1)
Source: RNAcentral